AGUGAACGCCGGCGGUAGGCCUAACACAUGCCAGUCGAACGGCAGCACAGUAAGAGCUUGCUCUUACGGGUGGCGAGUGGCGGACGGGUGAGGAAUACAUCGGAAUCUACUUUUUCGUGGGGGAUAACGUAGGGAAACUUACGCUAAUACCGCAUACGACCUACGGGUGAAAGCAGGAGAUCUUCGGACCUUGCGCGAUUGAAUGAGCCGAUGUCGGAUUAGCUAGUUGGCGGGGUAAAGGCCCACCAAGGCGACGAUCCGUAGCUGGUCUGAGAGGAUGAUCAGCCACACUGGAACUGAGACACGGUCCAGACUCCUACGGGAGGCAGCAGUGGGGAAUAUUGCACAAUGGGCGCAAGCCUGAUCCAGCCAUACCGCGUGGGUGAAGAAGGCCUUCGGGUUGUAAAGCCCUUUUGUUGGGAAAGAAAAGCAGCAGGUUAAUCCCCCGCUGUUCUGACGGUACCCAAAGAAUAAGCACCGGCUAACUUCGUG
Molecule: ribosomal RNA, 492 nt
Filed under: uncultured bacterium
Lineage: Bacteria
Description: partial 16S ribosomal RNA
Rfam family: Bacterial small subunit ribosomal RNA
Source: RNAcentral